GACGAACGCUGGCGGCGUGCCUAACACAUGCAAGUCGAACGGAAAGGCCCUGCUUUUGUGGCGCGCACGUGAGGGGAAGGGGUGUGAAAAACGCGAGUAACACGUCCUUAAAUUUGGGAUAACUCUAGGAAACUGGGGCUCUAACAGGAUAGAAGAUAUUGCACCACGGGGGGGGAUGGAAAGUUUCGGCGGUGGGGGAUGGACUAGAGGCUUCUCAGCUGGUUGGUGGGGUAGUGGCUGACCAGGGCUUCGACGGGUAGCCGGCCUGAGAGGGUGACCGGCCACAAUACGACUGAGGUACGCCCCAGUCUCGUACGGGCCGCAGCAGUGGGAAGUAUUGCACAGUGGGCGCAAGCCUGAUGCAGCGACGCCGCGUUCGUGAUGACGGCCUUCUGGUUGUAAACCACUUUCGCCGUUGACGAAGCGUGAGUGACGGUAAUGAGUAAAAAAGCACCGGCUAACUACGUG
Molecule: ribosomal RNA, 468 nt
Filed under: uncultured bacterium
Lineage: Bacteria
Description: partial 16S ribosomal RNA
Rfam family: Bacterial small subunit ribosomal RNA
Source: RNAcentral